UUGUAGCUUUGCUGUAAAAGGCUAACAUUUGAGUCCCAGAGAGUGAAGAAUCAUAAAGUUUUGGAAGAGUAAAACCUCGACUGGAGGCCUGAAAACCGGCUUGCAGACAGCAUAGUGUGGGACUUCUCAGCCUCUCUAAGUUACAGGAAUAACCCCCUGGAUCCACUACACUCGAGCCAAGGCAGCAGCAGAUCCAGACGAGCCAGGACUUCGGAGCCACCGAACCUCCACCUCGAAGGGAGCCCCCACAGUCCGGCUGAAGAGAACUGAAGGACAGUGGGCCUUCUACCCGAGGAACCAGAGACCUGAUCCCACCCCAGAGUAGUGACCAACCAUCUUAGUUGGCAACCAAGGCAUGAUCCCUGCAGAAUAGACGAGCCCUAGAUCUCCUCACAGCAGAAAAAGGGGGGACUUGCCUAUUCCUAGGCUGGAAUCUUAACCCAGAAGGUUAAGGAGCUGAAAGAUGGUGCGAAGCGCUACCGAGAGUCAGGGCAAGGGACAUGGAGCUUAGAUACCCAAAUCUGGCUCCGCUGGCUGGCUCCAUUCCUAGGCCCCCUGAUAUUACUCCUCUUAGGAAUAAGUCUAGGACCCUGGCUGCUGCGCACCCUCAUUAAUAACCUAGAGACCGCGGUCACCAGACGAGCCGCUGCUUGAGUGCUGCUCCUCCAGCAUCACCGAUACCAAAGACUCCCGACCCAACCCCAUCAGAGUGACCACCGUGGCUUGUGUGAUGAUGCUAAGACUCAGGCCAAUCUCGUCUAGCAUCAAAGGGGGGAAUGAUAAGGGCAAGAUGACUUGGGAGGAGCAGCCUAGCCAGAGACCCCUCCCAGGUUAACUGUUAAUCAUUGCUUAUCUGUUCCUGUAGCCCGUUUUCACAUCCCUCCCCCCGCCUGGGUAGCACAUCAAUCUCAUCAAUCUCCCACCUGAAUGCUAAUCCCUUCCCCCACCUGGGAAGCCCAUCCGUUUCCCGCCCGGAAUGCUAGGGCUUAUA
Long non-coding RNA from Pteronotus mesoamericanus, 991 nucleotides. RefSeq lists it as uncharacterized. The record is from RefSeq and is a predicted model, not a curated record. The transcript has 3 exons. Lineage: Eukaryota; Metazoa; Chordata; Mammalia; Chiroptera; Mormoopidae.